GACGCGAUGGCCGAGUGGUUAAGGCGGUAGACUAGAAUAAUUUAAAUUUUAAAAAUUAUGGAAAUCUACUUCCCUUUGGGAGCACAGGUUCAAAUCCUGUUCGCGUCG
Molecule: non-coding RNA, 108 nt
Organism: Anaeramoeba ignava
Lineage: Eukaryota; Anaeramoebidae
Source: the annotation of a GenBank genome assembly